This 253-nucleotide ribosomal RNA is filed under the name uncultured bacterium. Its description in RNAcentral is "partial 16S ribosomal RNA". It matches the Rfam family "Bacterial small subunit ribosomal RNA", at positions 524 to 776 of the family's 1533-position model. The record is from RNAcentral.
UACGGAGGGAGCUAGCGUUAUUCGGAAUUACUGGGCGUAAAGCGUACGUAGGCGGCUUUGUAAGUAAGAGGUGAAAGCCCGGAGCUCAACUCCGGAACUGCCUUUUAGACUGCAUCGCUUGGAUCCAGGAGAGGUGAGUGGAAUUCCGAGUGUAGAGGUGAAAUUCGUAGAUAUUCGGAAGAACACCAGUGGCGAAGGCGGCUCACUGGACUGGUAUUGACGCGGAGGUACGAAAGCGUGGGGAGCAAACAGG